RNAcentral lists this ribosomal RNA (492 nucleotides) under uncultured bacterium. RNAcentral's name for it is "partial 16S ribosomal RNA". It matches the Rfam family "Bacterial small subunit ribosomal RNA", at positions 29 to 507 of the family's 1533-position model. The record is from RNAcentral.
AGUGAACGCUGGCGGUAGGCCUAACACAUGCAAGUCGAACGGCAGCACAGUAAGAGCUUGCUCCUACGGGUGGCGAGUGGCGGACGGGUGAGGAAUACAUCGGAAUCUACUUUUUCGUGGGGGAUAACGUAGGGAAACUUACGCUAAUACCGCAUACGACCUACGGGUGAAAGCAGGGGAUCUUCGGACCUUGCGCGAUUGAAUGAGCCGAUGUCGGAUUAGCUAGUUGGCGGGGUAAAGGCCCACCAAGGCGACGAUCCGUAGCUGGUCUGAGAGGAUGAUCAGCCACACUGGAACUGAGACACGGUCCAGACUCCUACGGGAGGCAGCAGUGGGGAAUAUUGGACAAUGGGCGCAAGCCUGAUCCAGCCAUACCGCGUGGGUGAAGAAGGCCUUCGGGUUGUAAAGCCCUUUUGUUGGGAAAGAAAAGCAGCAGGUUAAUACCCCGCUGCUCUGACGGUACCCAAAGAAUAAGCACCGGCUAACUUCGUG